GAUGAACGCUGGCGGCGUGCCUAAUACAUGCAAGUCGAGCGAACAGACGAGGAGCUUGCUCCUCUGACGUUAGCGGCGGACGGGUGAGUAACACGUGGAUAACCUACCUAUAAGACUGGGAUAACUUCGGGAAACCGGAGCUAAUACCGGAUAAUAUAUUGAACCGCAUGGUUCAAUAGUGAAAGACGGUUUUGCUGUCACUUAUAGAUGGAUCCGCGCCGCAUUAGCUAGUUGGUAAGGUAACGGCUUAACAAGGCAACGAUGCGUAGCAGAACUGAGAGAGUGGUCACCCACACUGGUAGUGAGACACGGUCCAGACUCCUACGGAAGGCAAAAGUAGGGAAUGUUCCGCAAUGGACGAAAGCAUGACGGAACAACGCCGAGUGAGUGAUGAAGGUCUUGGGAUCGUAAAAAUAUGUUAUUAGGGAAGAACAAAUGUGUAAGUAACUAUGCACGUCUUGACGGUACCUAAUCAGAAAGCCCCGGCUACCUACGUG
RNAcentral lists this ribosomal RNA (497 nucleotides) under uncultured bacterium. RNAcentral's name for it is "partial 16S ribosomal RNA". It matches the Rfam family "Bacterial small subunit ribosomal RNA", at positions 28 to 507 of the family's 1533-position model. The record is from RNAcentral.